Molecule: ribosomal RNA, 911 nt
Filed under: uncultured archaeon
Lineage: Archaea
Description: bacterial SSU rRNA
Rfam family: Archaeal small subunit ribosomal RNA
Source: RNAcentral
UCCGGUUGAUCCUGCCRGACCCGACUGCUAUCAGAGUGAGAUUAAGCCAUGCGAGUCAACGUAGCAAUACGUGGCACACGGCUCAGUAACACGUAGUCAACAUAACCAAAGGACGUGGAUAAACUCGGGAAACUGAGGCUAAACCGCGAUAGACCAAGAUACCUGGAAUGGUUUUUGAUUAAAAUCUAUAUGGCCUUUGGAUUGGACUGCGACCGAUCAGGCUGUUGGUGAGGUAAUGGCCCACCAAACCUGUAACCGGUACGGGCUCUGAGAGGAGGAGCCCGGAGAUGGGUACUGAGACAAGGACCCAGGCCCUAUGGGGCGCAGCAGGCGCGAAACCUCUGCAAUAGGCGAAAGCCUGACAGGGUUACUCUGAGUGACUUUCGCUAAGAAAGUCUUUUGGCACCUCUAAGAAGGGUGCAGAAUAAGGGGUGGGCAAGUCUGGUGUCAGCCGCCGCGGUAAUACCAGCACCCCGAGUGGUCGGGACGAUUAUUGGGCCUAAAGCAUCCGUAGCCGGUUCUGCAAGUCCUCCGUUAAAUCCAGCUGCUUAACAGAUGGGCUGCGGAGGAUACUACAGAGCAAGGAGGCAGGAGAGGCAAGCGGUACUCAGUGGGUAGGGGUAAAAUCCGUUGAUCCAUUGAAGACCACCAGUGGCGAAGGCGGCUUGCCAGAAUGCGCUCGACGGUGAGGGAUGAAAGCUGGGGGAGCAAACCGGAUUAGAUACCCGGGUAGUCCCAGCCGUAAACGAUGCAGACUCGGUGAUGGGUUGGCUUCGCGCUAACCCAGUGCCGCAGGGAAGCCGUUAAGUCUGCCGCCUGGGUAGUACGGUCGCAAGACUGAAACUUAAAGGAAUUGGCGGGGGAGCACCACAAGGGGUGAAGCCUGCGGUUCAAUUGGAKUCAACGCCGGR